AUUGAACGCUGGCGGCGUGCCUAAUACAUGCAAGUAGAACGCAGUUGCGAACGGGUGAGUAACGCGUAGGUAACUGCCUCAUAGCGGGGGAUAACUAUUUGAAACGAUAGCUAAUACCGCAUACUGGUAGCUGGACCUGCGUUGUAUUGGCUAGGUGGUGAGGUAAAGGGUCACCAAGGCGACGAUACAUAGCCGACCUGAGAGGGUUGUCGGCCACAAUGGGACUGAGAAACGGCCCAGACUCCCAAGGGGGGGAGGAGUAGGGAAUCUUCGGCAAUGGACGGAAGGCCGGCCGAGCAACGGCGCGUGAGUGAAGAAGGGUUUCGGAUCGUAAAGCUCUGUUGUGAGGGGAGCGGUAACUAACCAGAAAGGGACGGCUAACUACGUGCCAGCAGCCGCGGUAAUAC
Molecule: ribosomal RNA, 407 nt
Filed under: uncultured bacterium
Lineage: Bacteria
Description: partial 16S ribosomal RNA
Rfam family: Bacterial small subunit ribosomal RNA
Source: RNAcentral